GAUGAAGAACGUAGUGAAAUGCGAUAAGUAAUGUGAAUUGCAGAAUUCAGUGAAUCAUCGAGUCUUUGAACGCACAUUGCGCCCCCUGGUAUUCCGGGGGGCAUGCCUGUCCGAGCGUCAUUGCUGCCCUCAAGCACGGCUUGUGUGUUGGGCCCCCGUCCCCGGUUUCCCCCGGGGACGGGCCCGAAAGGCAGCGGCGGCACCGCGUCCGGUCCUCGAGCGUAUGGGGCUUUGUCACCCGCUCUGUAGGCCCGGCCGGCGCCAGCCGACACCCAACUUUAUUUCUAAGGUUGACCUCGGAUCAGGUAGGGAUACCCGCUGAACUUAAGCAUAUCAUAAGCGGAGGA
This 347-nucleotide unclassified non-coding RNA is filed under the name soil metagenome. RNAcentral describes it as "partial contains 5.8S ribosomal RNA, internal transcribed spacer 2, and large subunit ribosomal RNA". The stretch from base 1 to 120 matches the Rfam family "5.8S ribosomal RNA", at positions 35 to 154 of the family's 154-position model. The record is from RNAcentral.